RNAcentral lists this transfer RNA (125 nucleotides) under Copromyces sp. CBS 386.78. RNAcentral describes it as "tRNA-Thr". It matches the Rfam family "tRNA". Rfam says of the family: Transfer RNA (tRNA) molecules are approximately 80 nucleotides in length. Their secondary structure includes four short double-helical elements and three loops (D, anti-codon, and T loops). Further hydrogen bonds mediate the characteristic L-shaped molecular structure. tRNAs have two regions of fundamental functional importance: the anti-codon, which is responsible for specific mRNA codon recognition, and the 3' end, to which the tRNAs corresponding amino acid is attached (by aminoacyl-tRNA synthetases). tRNAs cope with the degeneracy of the genetic code in two manners: having more than one tRNA (with a specific anti-codon) for a particular amino acid; and 'wobble' base-pairing, i.e. permitting non-standard base-pairing at the 3rd anti-codon position. The record is from RNAcentral. Lineage: Eukaryota; Fungi; Ascomycota; Sordariomycetes; Sordariales; Sordariaceae.
GCGCGGUUGGCGUAGUGGUCAACGCGUUCGCUCAGUACAUGGCACCUCAAUCACCUACGGUGUUCGUGGUUGGGGCCGCCAUCCCUGACAGUGAAAGUUCCCGGGUUCGAAUCCCGGACCGCGCA